Molecule: ribosomal RNA, 440 nt
Filed under: uncultured bacterium
Lineage: Bacteria
Description: partial 16S ribosomal RNA
Rfam family: Bacterial small subunit ribosomal RNA
Source: RNAcentral
CCUACGGGAGGCUGCAGUGGGGAAUAUUGCACAAUGGGGGAAACCCUGAUGCAGCGACGCCGCGUGAGUGAAGAAGGAUUUCGGUACGUAAAGCUCUAGCAGCAGGGAAGAAAAUGACGGUACCUGACGAAGAAGCCCCGGCUAACUACGUGCCAGCAGCCGCGGUAAUACGUAGGGGGCAAGCGUUAUCCGGAUUGACUGGGUGUACAGGGAGCGUAGCCGGCAGCGCAAGUCUGAAGUGAAAUCCCAGGGCUUAACCAUGGAACUGCUUUGGAAACUGUGCAGCUGGAGGGCAGGAGAGGUAAGCGCACUUCCUUGUGUAGCGGUGAACUGCGUAGAUAUUAGGCGGAACCCCAGUGGCGAAGGCGGCUUACUGGACUGUAACUGCCGUUGCGGCUCGAACGCGUGGGGAGCAACCAGGAUUAGCUACCCGUGUAGUC